RNAcentral lists this ribosomal RNA (944 nucleotides) under uncultured archaeon. RNAcentral's name for it is "bacterial SSU rRNA". It matches the Rfam family "Archaeal small subunit ribosomal RNA", at positions 1 to 922 of the family's 1478-position model. The record is from RNAcentral.
UUCCGGUUGAUCCUGCCGGACCCCACUGCUAUCGGGAUAGGACUAAGACAUGCUAGUUGAGCGCUUCCAGCCAACACGGGAGCGCAGCGCACAGCUCAGUAACACGUGGCUAAUCUGCCCUUGGGACCGGAACACCCCCGGGAAACUGGGGCUAAUUCUCGAUAGGUGAAGAACUCUGGAAUGAGUCUUUGCCAAAAAGACGUUUGCGUUAUGCUCGUAGGCGUCGCCCAAGGAUGAGGCCGCGACCGAUCAGGUUGUUGGUGAGGUAAUGGCUCACCAAGCCUUUUACCGGUGCGGGCCGUGAGAGCGGGAGCCCGGAGAUGGGCACUGAGACAAGGGCCCAGGCCCUACGGGGCGCAGCAGUCGCGAAAACUUUGCAAUACACGAAAGUGUGACAGGGCUAUCCCGAGUGCCAUCCGCUGAGGAAGGCUUUUACCCAGUCUAGAACGCUGGGGGAAUAAGGAGAGGGCAAGUCUGGUGUCAGCCGCCGCGGUAAUACCAGCUCUCCGAGUGGUGUGGAUGUUUAUUGGGCCUAAAGCAUCCGUAGCUGGCUAAGUUAGUCCCUUGUUAAAUCCACCGAAUUAAUCGUUGGAUUGCGGGGGAUACUGCUUGGCUAGGGGACGAGAGAGGCAGACGGUAUUUCCGGGGUAGGGGUGAAAUCCUAUAAUCCCGGGAAGACCACCAGUGGCGAAGGCUGUCUGCUAGAACGCGCCCGACGGUGAGGGAUGAAAGCUGGGGGAGCGAACCGGAUUAGAUACCCGGGUAGUCCCAGCUGUAAACGAUGCAGGCUAGGUGUUUGGACGGCCACGUGCCGUUCUAGUGCCGCAGGGAAGCUGUUAAGCCUGCCGCCUGGGGAGUACGAUCGCAAGAUUGAAACUUAAAGGAAUUGGCGGGGGAGCACCACAAGGGGUGAAGCUUGCGGUUUAAUUGGAUUCAACGCCGGG